RNAcentral lists this long non-coding RNA (367 nucleotides) under Lathyrus oleraceus (garden pea). RNAcentral's name for it is "Pisum sativum (pea) long non-coding RNA (PSAT_LNC029891)". Lineage: Eukaryota; Viridiplantae; Streptophyta; Magnoliopsida; Fabales; Fabaceae. The record is from RNAcentral.
AACAAUACAUAUUUUUCUAUUUACAAAAAUAUUUGUAUCAGCUAUGCAAUUUUACAUCAUUUGUUUUGACCUCGACGUGCAAGACACAAAGCGAUUAAGUUUCAAUAAGAUAUGGAUAAAUUUAGCAUAGCUCACAAUAGGGAGUUGUUCCUUACGAGGUUUCAACAGUAUUGUAGAUCACAUAUAAUUACUUAUCUCUAGUUUCUUUUUCUUCUCUCGUAAUGUCAUUUUUUCCUUAAUCAAUUCUCCAGAUCUAUAAAAAUAAACACAAUAAUGACCCAUAAAAAAAGAGAAUCUCAAGGAGGAGAAACGAAAAAUUAAAAACGAAAAGAUAAAUGAAAUAAAUCUAAUCAAAACUAAAUCAAAC